UACGAAGGGGGCUAGCGUUGCUCGGAAUCACUGGGCGUAAAGCGCACGUAGGCGGAUUGUUAAGUCAGGGGUGAAAUCCUGGAGCUCAACUCCAGAACUGCCUUUGAUACUGGCGAUCUCGAGUCCGGGAGAGGUGAGUGGAACUGCGAGUGUAGAGGUGAAAUUCUUAGAUAUUCGCAAGAACACCAGUGGCGAAGGCGGCUCACUGGCCCGGUACUGACGCUGAGGUGCGAAAGCGUGGGGAGCAAACAGG
RNAcentral lists this ribosomal RNA (253 nucleotides) under uncultured bacterium. Its description in RNAcentral is "partial 16S ribosomal RNA". It matches the Rfam family "Bacterial small subunit ribosomal RNA", at positions 524 to 776 of the family's 1533-position model. The record is from RNAcentral.